RNAcentral lists this ribosomal RNA (418 nucleotides) under uncultured bacterium. Its description in RNAcentral is "bacterial SSU rRNA". It matches the Rfam family "Bacterial small subunit ribosomal RNA", at positions 28 to 442 of the family's 1533-position model. The record is from RNAcentral.
AGUGAACGCUGGCGGCAGGCCUAAUACAUGCAAGUCGAACGGCAGCACAGCAGAGCUUGCUCUGUGGGUGGCGAGUGGCGGACGGGUGAGGAAUACGUGGGAAUCUGCCCAGUCGUGGGGGAUAACGUAGGGAAACUUACGCUAAUACCGCAUGCGCCCUUCGGGGGAAAGCCGGGGACCUUCGGGCCUGGCGCGAUUGGAUGAGCCCACGUCGGAUUAGCUAGUUGGCGGGGUAAAGGCCCACCAAGGCGACGAUCCGUAGCUGGUCUGAGAGGAUGAUCAGCCACACUGGAACUGAGACACGGUCCAGACUCCUACGGGAGGCAGCAGUAGGGAAUAUUGGACAAUGGGCGCAAGCCUGAUCCAGCCAUGCCGCGUGAGUGAAGAAGGCCCUCGGGUUGUAAAGCUCUUUGUCCGG